This 259-nucleotide ribosomal RNA is filed under the name Haemophilus influenzae. RNAcentral's name for it is "partial 23S ribosomal RNA". It matches the Rfam family "Bacterial large subunit ribosomal RNA", at positions 455 to 720 of the family's 2925-position model. The record is from RNAcentral. Lineage: Bacteria; Pseudomonadati; Pseudomonadota; Gammaproteobacteria; Pasteurellales; Pasteurellaceae.
AUCCUCCAAGGCUAAAUACUCCUGAUUGACCGAUAGUGAACCAGUACUGUGAAGGAAAGGCGAAAAGAACCCCGGUGAGGGGAGUGAAAUAGAACCUGAAACCUUGUACGUACAAGCAGUGGGAGCCUGAAAGGGUGACUGCGUACCUUUUGUAUAAUGGGUCAGCGACUUAUAUUUUGUAGCGAGGUUAACUGAAUAAGGGAGCCGAAGGGAAACCGAGUCUUAACUGGGCGAGUAGUUGCAAGGUAUAGACCCGAAA